Molecule: ribosomal RNA, 253 nt
Filed under: uncultured bacterium
Lineage: Bacteria
Description: partial 16S ribosomal RNA
Rfam family: Bacterial small subunit ribosomal RNA
Source: RNAcentral
GACAGGGGGUGCAAACGUUAUUCGGAAUCACUGGGCUUAAAGGGCGCGUAGGCGGCCUUCUAAGUCAGACGUGAAAUCCCCCGGCUUAACCUGGGAACUGCGUCUGAUACUGGGAGGCUUGAGUAUGGGAGAGGGAUGUAGAAUUCCAGGUGUAGCGGUGAAAUGCGUAGAUAUCUGGAGGAAUACCGGUGGCGAAGGCGGCAUCCUGGACCAUAACUGACGCUGAGGCGCGAAAGCUAGGGGAGCAAACGGG